Molecule: ribosomal RNA, 95 nt
Filed under: Wuchereria bancrofti
Lineage: Eukaryota; Metazoa; Nematoda; Chromadorea; Rhabditida; Onchocercidae
Source: RNAcentral
AGUCUACGACCAUACCACGUUGAAAGCACGACAUCUCGUCCGAUCUGUCAAGUUAAGCAACGUUGGGCCUGAGGAAUCCAGGUGUUGUAGACAUG